This 450-nucleotide ribosomal RNA is filed under the name uncultured bacterium. RNAcentral describes it as "bacterial SSU rRNA". It matches the Rfam family "Bacterial small subunit ribosomal RNA", at positions 354 to 796 of the family's 1533-position model. The record is from RNAcentral.
GUGGGGAAUUUUGGACAAUGGGCGCAAGCCUGAUCCAGCAAUGCCGCGUGCAGGAUGAAGGCCUUCGGGUUGUAAACUGCUUUUGUACGGAACGAAAAGCCCUGGGUUAAUACCCUGGGGUCAUGACGGUACCGUAAGAAUAAGCACCGGCUAACUACGUGCCAGCAGCCGCGGUAAUACGUAGGGUGCAAGCGUUAAUCGGAAUUACUGGGCGUAAAGCGUGCACAGGCGGUUUUGUAAGACUGGCGUGAAAUCCCCGGGCUCAACCUGGGAAUUGCGCUUGUGACUGCAAGGCUGGAGUGCGGCAGAGGGGGAUGGAAUUCCGCGUGUAGCAGUGAAAUGCGUAGAUAUGCGGAGGAACACCGAUGGCGAAGGCAAUCCCCUGGGCCUGCACUGACGCUCAUGCACGAAAGCGUGGGGAGCAAACAGGAUUAGAUACCCGGGUAGUCC